RNAcentral lists this unclassified non-coding RNA (277 nucleotides) under uncultured Cyberlindnera. RNAcentral describes it as "sequence contains ITS2". The stretch from base 1 to 52 matches the Rfam family "5.8S ribosomal RNA", at positions 103 to 154 of the family's 154-position model. Lineage: Eukaryota; Fungi; Ascomycota; Saccharomycetes; Phaffomycetales; Phaffomycetaceae. The record is from RNAcentral.
AACGCACAUUGCACCCUCUGGUAUUCCGGAGGGUAUGCCUGUUUGAGCGUCAUUUCUCUCUCAAACUUUAUGUUUGGUAUUGAGUGAUACUCUACUUGUGUUAACUUGAAAUACGGUUUUGGAAAGGGUGUGUUAAACAGCCGUCGUCCUCGAUAAUGUAUUAGGUUCUACCAACUCGUUAUAGUGGAAGAUUGGACUGCUUAGCAUGUAAGCUCGGCCUAACAACCCCUUCAAUAAGUUUGACCUCAAAUCAGGUAGGACUACCCGCUGAACUUAA